UACGUAGGGUGCAAGCGUUGUCCGGAAUUAUUGGGCGUAAAGAGCUCGUAGGCGGUCUGUCGCGUCGGCUGUGAAAACCUGGGGCUCAACUCCGGGCCUGCAGCCGAUACGGGCAGACUAGAAUUCGGUAGGGGAGACUGGAAUUCCUGGUGUAGCGGUGAAAUGCGCAGGAUAUCAGGAGGAACACCGGUGGCGAAGGCGGGUCUCUGGGCCGAUAUUGACGCUGAGGAGCGAAAGCGUGGGGAGCGA
RNAcentral lists this ribosomal RNA (249 nucleotides) under uncultured bacterium. RNAcentral's name for it is "partial 16S ribosomal RNA". It matches the Rfam family "Bacterial small subunit ribosomal RNA", at positions 524 to 771 of the family's 1533-position model. The record is from RNAcentral.